This 465-nucleotide ribosomal RNA is filed under the name uncultured bacterium. RNAcentral describes it as "partial 16S ribosomal RNA". It matches the Rfam family "Bacterial small subunit ribosomal RNA", at positions 28 to 507 of the family's 1533-position model. The record is from RNAcentral.
GACGAACGCUGGCGGCGUGCUUAACACAUGCAAGUCGUACGGUAAGGCCCUUUCGGGGGUCCACGAGUGGCGAACGGGUGAGUAACACGUGAGUAACCUGCCCACAACUUUGGGAUAACGCUAGGAAACUGGUGCUAAUACUGGAUAUGUGCUCCUGCUGCAUGGUGGGGGUUGGAAAGCUCCGGCGGUUGUGGAUGGACUCGCGGCCUAUCAGCUUGUUGGUGGGGUAGUGGCCUACCAAGGCGGCGACGGGUAGCCGGCCUGAGAGGGUGACCGGCCACAGUGGGACUGAGAGACGGCCCAGACUCCUACGGGAGGCAGCAGUGGGGAAUAUUGAACAAUGGGCGCAAGCCUGAUGCAGCAACGCCGCGUGCGGGAUGACGGCCUUCGGGUUGUAAACCGCUUUCAGCAGGGACGAAGCUUUUUGUGACGGUACCUGCAGAAGAAGCACCGGCUAACUACGUG